AGCAAUGCAUCGUUCACCGAUCUCUUAAGAGUUAUUGAAAGAACCUAUGCCAGAUUUGAACAUCCCGAUCUCUUUCAAUAAGACAAAAUUCUAUGAUAAAAGAUUUGGGCUUAGACUAUCAAAGAUUGGAAGGGAUGGGAAGUUAAGGCAUUCGGUCGAUGCCCAAGUAUGGAAACACUUUGAUGCAAAACAUUCAAAUUUUGCUCGUGAAACUCGUAAAAUCAGGCUUAGGUUAGCAAGUGAUGGGUUUUAUCCAUUUAGGUGUACGAGUCUUUCACAUCCCACAUGGUCUGUUGUAUUAACAAUAUAUUAAUUAUCCGCAAAAUAUGUGCUUGAAGGCUGAAAAUUGUUUGAAUGUAUAAUUAUUCCAGUCUUUGAUUUCUCAUAUAAUCGCAGCU
RNAcentral lists this long non-coding RNA (398 nucleotides) under Medicago truncatula (barrel medic). RNAcentral describes it as "long non-coding RNA (MTRU_LNC003152)". Lineage: Eukaryota; Viridiplantae; Streptophyta; Magnoliopsida; Fabales; Fabaceae. The record is from RNAcentral.